CCUACGGGGGGCAGCAGUGGGGAAUAUUGCACAAUGGGCGCAAGCCUGAUGCAGCCAUGCCGCGUGUGUGAAGAAGGCCUUCGGGUUGUAAAGCACUUUCAGCGGGGAGGAAGGCGGUGAGGUUAAUAACCUCAUCGAUUGACGUUACCCGCAGAAGAAGCACCGGCUAACUCCGUGCCAGCAGCCGCGGUAAUACGGAGGGUGCAAGCGUUAAUCGGAAUUACUGGGCGUAAAGCGCACGCAGGCGGUCUGUCAAGUCGGAUGUGAAAUCCCCGGGCUCAACCUGGGAACUGCAUUCGAAACUGGCAGGCUAGAGUCUUGUAGAGGGGGGUAGAAUUCCAGGUGUAGCGGUGAAAUGCGUAGAGAUCUGGAGGAAUACCGGUGGCGAAGGCGGCCCCUGGACAAAGACUGACGCUCAGGUGCGAAAGCGUGGGGAGCAAACAGGAUUAGAUACCCGGGUAGUC
RNAcentral lists this ribosomal RNA (464 nucleotides) under uncultured Klebsiella sp. Its description in RNAcentral is "bacterial SSU rRNA". It matches the Rfam family "Bacterial small subunit ribosomal RNA", at positions 338 to 795 of the family's 1533-position model. The record is from RNAcentral. Lineage: Bacteria; Pseudomonadati; Pseudomonadota; Gammaproteobacteria; Enterobacterales; Enterobacteriaceae.